CUUCACCUGAUGCUACUGCUAUGAAAAAGAUCAGUUUCAGCUCAUUCCUUGCUGGAGCAACUUUAGAACUCUGUGUUUCCAAAAGCACAGCCUGAACCCUACCUUGUGAUGUGGUGUCUUGCAUGAACCUCAACCAGGCAAUACCAAUCCUUGGGUGAAUACCAGAAAGAAGAGAAGUUAACAUGUGAAAGAAUUGGCCACGGUAUGAUCUCAACGGUGCCUUCUGCAACAUAAAACUUCAGUAACUUCUGUAUGAGCUGGCUGCAGCUGUACAUGUAGAUCAACACUUUCUGUGCACCAAGAAUUUUAUACAUUUCCAUGCUUUGUAUGAACUGCAAGACAUUGCUGUCGUUUCCAAACAUGCCAGAGAGACAAACAGUGAAUUCAGCGGAAAAAGAAUCCCUGGGCACACGGUUUCUAAUUUCAAAUCUUGGUAUCUUGUCGAUUUUUCCUCUAGGUGAUGAAUGAAUUGAGACAUAUUUUGGAAAACA
Rhineura floridana is the source of this 491-nucleotide long non-coding RNA. RefSeq lists it as uncharacterized. Lineage: Eukaryota; Metazoa; Chordata; Lepidosauria; Squamata; Rhineuridae. The transcript has 2 exons. The record is from RefSeq and is a predicted model, not a curated record.